This 483-nucleotide ribosomal RNA is filed under the name uncultured bacterium. RNAcentral's name for it is "partial 16S ribosomal RNA". It matches the Rfam family "Bacterial small subunit ribosomal RNA", at positions 28 to 523 of the family's 1533-position model. The record is from RNAcentral.
GAUGAACGCUGGCGGCGUGCCUAAUACAUGCAAGUCGAGCGAACCACUUCGGUGGUGAGCGGCGAACGGGUGAGUAACACGUAGGUGAUCUGCCCAUCAGACGGGGACAACGAUUGGAAACGAUCGCUAAUACCGGAUAGGACGAAAGUUUAAAGGUGCUUCUGGCACCGCUGAUGGAUGAGCCUGCGGCGCAUUAGCUAGUUGGUAGGGUAAAGGCCUACCAAGGCGACGAUGCGUAGCCGACCUGAGAGGGUGAACGGCCACACUGGGACUGAGACACGGCCCAGACUGCUCCGGGAGGCAGCAGUAGGGGAUCUUCGGCAAUGGGCGAAAGCCUGACCGAGCAACGCCGCGUGAAUGAUGAAGGCCUUCGGGUUGUAAAAUCCUGUUAUAAGGGAAGAACGACUUUAGUAGGAAAUGGCUAGAGUGUGACGGUACCUUAUGAGAAAGCCACGGCUAACUACGUGCCAGCCGCCGCAGUAA